GCAACGCCGGAUGGUUAACCCACUGAGCAAGGACAGGGACCAAACCUGCAACCUCAUGGUUCCUAGUCGGAUUUGUUAACCACUGCGCCACAACAGGAACUCCUAUUACCUCAUUUAAUACAGCAGCCCUAUGAUACAGAUUUUUUAUGAUCUCCCUUUUAUAGGUGAGGAAACUAAGGCCCUUAGACUGGCACCAUCAGCAUCAUUCAGGAGCUUGUUAGAAAUGCAAAAUCUUGGGCCCCAUUUCCGACCUACUGGGGCAGAAUCUGUACAGAACCACCAGGCUAGACCAGAGGGCCCUGUGGGUCUUAAACUCAUGUAUGCAUGAGGGUUCGCUAGAAGCUGUGUUAGAACCCACAUCCCUGGGUCCCACCCCUUGUCCCAAAUACAAGUCCCUGGUAUUUAUUUAGCAGCAAUACUUAGGCGCUCUGUGGAGUUGCAUCCCUCAGGUUCUUUUUGGUAUCACAUCAUCUACCAACAUUAGCUGAUAGUGAAAAGCAGCAUUUUGGAAGUUCUCUUACAGUGCAGCGGGUUAAGGAUCCAGCAUUGUAACUGCAGCAGCUUGGUCACCACUGCGGCACAGGUUUGAUCCCUGGCCUGGAACCUCCGUGUGCUAUAGGCGUAGCCAAAAAACCCCAACAUUUUCAAAGAGCAGAAAUCAGAGUUUUAUUUUCAGGGGUUGACACACUUUUUCUGUAAAGGCCCAGCUAGUAAAUAUUUUAGGCUUUGCGAGCCAUUAGGCCUCUGUCAUAUGUCGCAAAAGCAGACAAUAUGUAAAUGAACAAGGGUGUCUGUUUUCCAGUACAACUCAGUCAACUCCUCUCAUUUAACUUAGAAUCAGGGAACCUCCAAUGAUGGCAAUGCUCCCAGUGCAGAGUGUGUCUAAGGAAUGGGGCUCUUGGCGUUCAGCGGAGAGAGGAAGAAAGGACUGUCUGAGUCCAUUGCUCGUACUGUAGGCGAGGAAAAGCAGUUUUCCCUCGACCCUCCUAAGUUUGUGGCUGAGACCCCCUCUGCAACAAAAAACAGAUUAACGAGACAAAAACACACCAUUGUAAUUACUACAUAAGGGGAGCCCGCAAAGAAAGGAGACUCCAAAGGCAGCCAGACACCUGAGGCUCACGUACCAUCCUGAGCUGAGGAAAGGGACUGGGGUCUGGGCCUUCACCGGGCCGAAGGCCUUUCACAGGAAGGUGAGAAGAGCGGGUGUUUGGUGAACAAUGUUUGCCCACCAUGCAAAGGAGCCUCAGAAGAAAAAGUGAUCUCAGCUAAUGGCUCUUCCUGGUACAGGCCUCCUUUCUAAUUUUUUUUUUAGGCAGUAAAGAAGGAGUUAAAAAGCUUUUCAAAGCUGAGUCUGCUGGGUCUUGAUAGCCUUCAGUUCAAAAUAAUAGGUCAAAGUGGCACAUUCGGGAAAAGCCUGUUCUGAACCCCUCCACACCAUAUGCCAGGAUUAACUCCCUUCAGGCUGAUUACACUGUAACACCUUGGGAUAACUUUUCUACCAGGCUAUGAAAUCCUAAUACUUUCAGUUUUUGUAAGGUAACUUCUCACCUCAUAGGCUAUUGUCACUACUUUUUAUCAGUUGUGUUAUUAAUUAAGAAAAAAACACUGUGCCAACAAACUUAUAUACCCCAAGUAUCGUGUAAGAAUCUUAUUUGACAAGGUCUUGCUUUUACUCAAGCAGCCAUAUUAUUUUCUAAUAAUAGAAAAUACAUUGCAAAAAAUAAUCAAGUAAUCACCUUUUAUCAUUUUCUGAGUGUGGGAUAACUUUUCUCCUUGGCCUUAUGAGAAAAAGCCCUAUAACCCUCAGUGCUGAUUAUUGUUGAAGACAUAGUUUUCUAGCUUAUCGGAUGUCAUCUUGGAGUCCCCACAGGAUAAAUUCUCCCAUCUCCUGUAAGCCAUGUGACCUCCCUAACCAAACACCAGGACAUGAGUCUUCUCCUCACUUUCUCUCUGGUAUGAUCUUAUUUUACCUACACUGGUUUUUCUUAGUUUCGACUCUCUCCAUUUCUUUAAUGUUUAUCUUAUUUUGGGCAUUUUUAUUAAAAAAUUGCUUUCUGUCCUUUAUGGAAUACAAAAUUUUAAAAUUUCAUUUAUUUUUUAUUUUUUGGCCAUGCCCAUGGCAUGAGGACGCUCCUGGGCCAGGGAUUGAACCCAUAGAUCGGCAGUGACAACUGCUAGAUCUUUAACCCUCUGAGCCACUAGGGAGCUCCUCUGGAGUACAGAUUUAUUUAAGUCAAAAAGAAUGUUCAGGAGUUCCUGUUGUGGCUCAGCAGGUUAAGAACCCAACUAGUACCCAAGAGGAUGCAGGUUUGAUCCCUGGCCUCACUCAGUGGGUUAAGGAUCUGGUGUUGCCGUGAGCUGUGGUAUAGGUCGCAGACAUAGCUCAGAUCCUGUGUUGCUAUGGCUGUGGCGUAGGCCAGAGACUACAGCUCCGAUUCGACCCCUAGCCUGGGUGCCUGCAUAUGCCACACCCAGGUGCGGCCCUAAAAAGCAAAAAACAAAACAAGGGUGAGGAUGUUCAAUUUGAGGGUCUUUAGUUCAUUGUGCUUUGAGGACAAAGGGGAAGUGAUGCUGCUAUCUUCAGACUUAGGAAGUAGCAGAUAGACACACCAACUCAGGUGUAAUGUACUCAGAUUUACAUCAUCACUUGUGUGGCUGAAGUUGAACGUUCUUGGUUGGCGCGUGCGUCCUGCCCAGCUCACUCGGAGGGACCUGAGUACUGUAGACAGUUACCCUGCAGUUCUGCUUUUUUGUUUUGUUUUUUAAACAGAAUUCACGUUUUAUUAGAUGAAAAUAAACGACACAAAAUUGCUUGUCCUCACCAAUUAAAAGAUACUGUUUUCGGAGUUCCUGUCAUGGUGCAGUGGAAGCAAUCCAACUAGGAACCAUGAGAUUGCAGGUUUGAUCCCUGGCCUCGCUCAGUGGGUUAAGGAUCUGGCGUUGCCAUGAGCUGUGGUGUCGGUGGCAGACGCGGCGAGGAUCUGGUGUUGCUGUAGCUCUGGCAUAGGCUGGCAGCUGUAGCUCCAGUUAGAUCCCUAGCCUGGGAACCUCCAUAUGUGUGGCCCUCAAAAGACAAAAAAAAUAAAAAUAAAAUAAAAGACACUGUUUUCUGUAUUUUUCCUAGGUGAACCACAAAACUCUUGAUAAGAAAACGGGUUUUCCCGGUUAUGCAUAUAAAUCAAGAUGAGGGAGUAGCUAUGGUCUUCAAAAACUUAGAGGAAAAUGGGCAAAACCACACAAAUCAGUUGUCAGAGUCUGCGGCUUCAGGUUCUGUCUCAACCAUGGUUUUCAUGGUCCAUCUGCUGAAAAACUGAGCCUGGUCGGGGUGCAGAUGAAACAGGGGUGCAAGCAGCAGCCACGCCUGUGGGGCGACAGUGGCCAUUUAACAGUAAGGGUAACUCCCUUACAUUCUCUUGAUGAAAAAGUCAACUCCGCAGAACCGAUAAAUCCUGACCAUUAGAUCGGUGAUAGUAAACAUCAUGCCCCGAAUGCCUUCAGUGCGACCCUCACGCCAUAGGCAGGAACCAGUCACAGAGCAGCACUUUCAAGACCAUCUUCUUAGAGAACACAGCAGUCUCCAAAGUCUGCAAGUUCAGAUUGUGGCCGUUCAGCUGGUAAGUGGGCAGUGGUGGCAGAUUUGGUGUGUGACCUUUGGCAAAUUUACUUUCAGUGACUAAGAGGCCUGCAUGCACCUUAUAGCUUUGCCUCCUAAUAAACCAAUAAAAGAUGUCUUUUAAACUUU
Sus scrofa (pig) is the source of this 3742-nucleotide non-coding RNA. The record is from RefSeq and is a predicted model, not a curated record. Lineage: Eukaryota; Metazoa; Chordata; Mammalia; Artiodactyla; Suidae.